Syngnathus typhle (broad-nosed pipefish) is the source of this 629-nucleotide long non-coding RNA. RefSeq lists it as uncharacterized. NCBI's taxonomy places the organism in Eukaryota, Metazoa, Chordata, Actinopteri, Syngnathiformes, Syngnathidae. The transcript has 3 exons. The record is from RefSeq and is a predicted model, not a curated record.
AGAUGAGAUCUUGGAAAAGAGAUGAAUAAUAUACGUACAAUUCAUCACUGGGGCACUCAUAGAACAGAUGGCGUCGUAGGAUUUCCCGAUGCGGCACAGCUGCAUGGCGCGGAAGCCACUCUGUCGGAGCAUCCCAGUGUACUCGGAAGGCGGCCGCUCGCGGCCUUCUGCCUGCACCAGCAUGUUGAGCGAGAAGAGCUGCGCCUGGAUGGGGCCCCGCCGGCUCUCUAGCAACAUGGCCUCCACCAGCAGCACACCUCCCCCUGAGGCAAAAGCACACAAUGAGGAUUCUAUGUGAAAUAUGUCAUCCUCUCCAAUUGAGUCGUGCAAUAUCGAACAGUAAGCCCAUUUUGAAUGGAACACAACCGAAUGGAGUCCUUGAAUGUGAUGCACUAAUGCUACAGCAUGAUAAGGCCUUGCCUGGUUUGCAGAUGUCGUAGAUCCUCUUGAGAAGUGUCAGACAUUUGUCGUCCGACCAGUCGUGGAGGAUGCGAGCCAGGACGUACAAGUCAGCAGCAGGAAGUUCACCGUGGAAAAAAUCUCCUGAAGAGCACGAGUUCAGCAAGGCAGACACCGCAGCACCUCAAAAUAUCCAGCAGAGGGUGCAGUUUUACUUCCAAUUGACCGAC